GCGGGAGGUUGCUGCUAUGAGGAUUCGACUAAGCCAUGCAAGUCAGGUAGUAAUACCGGCGACAUGCUCAGUAACACGUCGUUAAUCUGCCCAUAGGUCAAGGAUAACCUCGGGAAACUGAGGGUAAUACUUGAUAUGAAAAAUGCUCUGGAAGGAACUUUUUCUGAAACUCGAGCCUAUGGAUGAGACGGCGGCCGAUUAGGCUGUUGGCGGUGUAACGGACCACCAAACCAAUGAUCGGUAGGGGCCAUGAAAGUGGGAGCCCCGAGAAGGACACUGAGACACUGGUCCUAGCCCUACGGGGUGCAGCAGGCGCGAAACUUUUUCAAUGCGGGAAACCGUGAUAAGGGAAUCCUCAGUGCGUGCACAUAGUGUACGCUUUUGCCAAGAGUAAAUAUCUUGGCGAAUAAGUGGUGGGCAAGACUGGUGCCAGCCGCCGCGGUAACACCAGCGCCACAAGUGGCAACCGUGUAUUUGGCCUAAAGCGUCCGUAGCUGGUUGAAUAAGUCUUUUGUGAAAUCGUUACUGUCAACGUAACGGCAUGCAGAAGACACUGUUUAACUCGAGACCGGGAGGAGUCAGAGGUAUUCUUGGGGGAGCGGUAAAAUGCUAUAAUCCCAAGAGGACCACCUGUGGCGAAGGCGUCUGACUAGAACGGUUCUGACAGUGAGGGACGAAAGCCAGGGGAGCGAACCGGAUUAGAUACCCGAGUAGUCCUGGCCGUAAACGCUGUGAGCUAGGUGUUGCACAUUCUACGGGAAUGUGCAGUGUCGAAACGAAGGUGAUAAGCUCACCGCCUGGGAAGUACGGUCGCAAGACUGAAACUUAAAGGAAUUGGCGGGGGAGCACUACAAGGGGUGCGGCGUGCGGUUUAAUCUAACUCAACACAGAAAACCUUACUAGUGGCGACGGCAGAAUGAAGGUCAGUCUGAAGGGCUUGCCUGACAGGCCAAGAGGUAGUGCAUGGCCGCCGUCAGCUCGUGCCGUGAGGUGUCCAGUUAAGUCUGGCAACGAGCGAGACCUGUGCCUGCAAUUGCUAGCGGCUGAUUUUUCAGGACCGAGCACAUUGCAGGGACUGCCUUGGUAACAAGGAGGAAGGUGCAGGCUACGGUAGGUCUGUAUGCUCCGAAUCCACUAGGCUACACGCGCGCAACAAUGGUUGGGACAAUAGGAUGCAACCCCGAAAGGGGAAGCUAACCCCCGAAACCCAAUCGUAGUCCAGAUUGAGGGUUGGAACUCACCCUCAUGACGACGGAAUCCCUAGUAAUCAGAGUUCAUCAGACUCUGGUGAAUGUGUCCCUGCUCCUUGCACACACCGCCCGUCAAACCAACCGAGCAGGGUUUAGAUGAGGCUCAGCUAUUUUGGUCGUUCCGAAUCUAGGCUCAGUGAGGUGGGUUAAGUCGUCACAAGGUA
Molecule: ribosomal RNA, 1414 nt
Filed under: metagenome
Description: bacterial SSU rRNA
Rfam family: Archaeal small subunit ribosomal RNA
Source: RNAcentral